This 424-nucleotide ribosomal RNA is filed under the name uncultured bacterium. RNAcentral describes it as "partial 16S ribosomal RNA". It matches the Rfam family "Bacterial small subunit ribosomal RNA", at positions 359 to 775 of the family's 1533-position model. The record is from RNAcentral.
GAAUUUUGGACAAUGGGCGAAAGCCUGAUCCAGCAAUGCCGCGUGCAGGAUGAAGGCCUUCGGGUUGUAAACUGCUUUUGUACGGAACGAGGAGUCUCGGGAUAAUACCCUGGGACCAUGACGGUACCGUAAGGAUAAGCACCUGCUACUUACGUGCCAGCUGGCGCGGUAAUACGUAGGGUGCAAGCGUUAAUCGGAAGUACUGGGCGUAAAGCGUGCGCAGGCGGUUAUAUAAGACAGAUGUGAGAUCCCCGGGCUCAACCUGGGAACUGCAUUUGUGACUGUAUAGCUAGAGUACGGCAGAGGGGGGUGGAAUUCCGCGUGUAGCAGUGAAAUGCGUAGAUAUGCGGAGGAACACCGAUGGCGAAGGCAACCCCCUGGGCCUGUACUGACGCUCAUGCACGAAAGCGUGGGGAGCAAACAG